UAUGGAGAGUUUGAUCCUGGCUCAGAGUGAACGCUGGCGGCGUGCCUAAUACAUGCAAGUCGAACGAUGAAGCUUUCUAGCUUGCUAGAAUGCUGAUUAGUGGCGCACGGGUGAGUAACGCAUAGGUCAUGUGCCUCUUAGUUUGGGAUAGCCAUUGGAAACGAUGAUUAAUACCAGAUACUCCCUACGGGGGAAAGAUUUAUCGCUAAGAGAUCAGCCUAUGUCCUAUCAGCUUGUUGGUAAGGUAAUGGCUUACCAAGGCUAUGACGGGUAUCCGGCCUGAGAGGGUGAACGGACACACUGGAACUGAGACACGGUCCAGACUCCUACGGGAGGCAGCAGUAGGGAAUAUUGCUCAAUGGGGGAAACCCUGAAGCAGCAACGCCGCGUGGAGGAUGAAGGUUUUAGGAUUGUAAACUCCUUUUGUUAGAGAAGAUAAUGACGGUAUCUAACGAAUAAGCACCGGCUAACUCCGUGCCAGCAGCCGCGGUAAUACGGAGGGUGCAAGCGUUACUCGGAAUCACUGGGCGUAAAGAGCGCGUAGGCGGGAUAGUCAGUCAGGUGUGAAAUCCUAUGGCUUAACCAUAGAACUGCAUUUGAAACUACUAUUCUAGAGUGUGGGAGAGGUAGGUGGAAUUCUUGGUGUAGGGGUAAAAUCCGUAGAGAUCAAGAGGAAUACUCAUUGCGAAGGCGACCUGCUGGAACAUUACUGACGCUGAUUGCGCGAAAGCGUGGGGAGCAAACAGGAUUAGAUACCCUGGUAGUCCACGCCCUAAACGAUGGAUGCUAGUUGUUGGAGGGCUUAGUCUCUCCAGUAAUGCAGCUAACGCAUUAAGCAUCCCGCCUGGGGAGUACGGUCGCAAGAUUAAAACUCAAAGGAAUAGACGGGGACCCGCACAAGCGGUGGAGCAUGUGGUUUAAUUCGAAGAUACACGAAGAACCUUACCUAGGCUUGACAUUGAGAGAAUCCGCUAGAAAUAGUGGAGUGUCUGGCUUGCCAGACCUUGAAAACAGGUGCUGCACGGCUGUCGUCAGCUCGUGUCGUGAGAUGUUGGGUUAAGUCCCGCAACGAGCGCAACCCCCUUUCUUAGUUGCUAACAGGUCAUGCUGAGAACUCUAGGGAUACUGCCUCCGUAAGGAGGAGGAAGGUGGGGACGACGUCAAGUCAUCAUGGCCCUUACGCCUAGGGCUACACACGUGCUACAAUGGGGUGCACAAAGAGAAGCAAUACUGCGAAGUGGAGCCAAUCUUCAAAACACCUCUCAGUUCGGAUUGUAGGCUGCAACUCGCCUGCAUGAAGCUGGAAUCGCUAGUAAUCGCAAAUCAGCCAUGUUGCGGUGAAUACGUUCCCGGGUCUUGUACUCACCGCCCGUCACACCAUGGGAGUUGUGUUUGCCUUAAGUCAGGAUGCUAAAUUGGCUACUGCCCACGGCACACACAGCGACUGGGGUGAAGUCGUAACAAGGUAACCGUAGGUGAACCUGCGGUUGGAUCACCUCCUU
Molecule: ribosomal RNA, 1502 nt
Filed under: Helicobacter pylori
Lineage: Bacteria; Pseudomonadati; Campylobacterota; Epsilonproteobacteria; Campylobacterales; Helicobacteraceae
Description: bacterial SSU rRNA
Rfam family: Bacterial small subunit ribosomal RNA
Source: RNAcentral